This 253-nucleotide ribosomal RNA is filed under the name uncultured bacterium. RNAcentral describes it as "partial 16S ribosomal RNA". It matches the Rfam family "Bacterial small subunit ribosomal RNA", at positions 524 to 776 of the family's 1533-position model. The record is from RNAcentral.
UACAGAGGGGGCAAGCGUUGUUCGGAAUUACUGGGCGUAAAGGGCGCGUAGGCGGCCUUCUAAGUCGAACGUGAAAUCCCCGGGCUCAACCCGGGAACUGCGUCCGAGACUGGAAGGCUUGAAUCCGGGAGAGGGAUGUGGAAUUCCAGGUGUAGCGGUGAAAUGCGUAGAUAUCGAGAGGAACACCUGCGGCGAAGGCGGGUUGCUGGGCUGACACUGACGCUGAGGCGCGAAAGCCAGGGGAGCGAACGGG